Catharus ustulatus (Swainson's thrush) is the source of this 3528-nucleotide long non-coding RNA. RefSeq lists it as uncharacterized. NCBI's taxonomy places the organism in Eukaryota, Metazoa, Chordata, Aves, Passeriformes, Turdidae. The record is from RefSeq and is a predicted model, not a curated record. The transcript has 3 exons.
UACAAGAAUUCCACUAAACCUCAAUCUUACUCUGCAUGAAGGUUGCAAUGGAUAAGAGGGGAGGAAGCAGUUGCUUUUUCUCUCAGGGUGAAUAUAACAGAGUUAAUUUCUGGAUCAGUUUCUUGAGUCACAUCCAAGGUCUAAACUAAGUUACAAGAGAUGAAGAAAAAGUCCAUAUGCAAUACCUGCCAUGAGCAACCAGAGAGGGAAACAGGCAUGACCUCUUGCCUCGUCCUCACCGCAUCUAUUCCAGAGCAGCAAACCGUCACAGACAGUAAGCAACUGCAUGUCUGUCUUGGAUGCAACACAUUCCCUCUCUUCUGGAACAAACUGUAAGCAUGAAAUAAUUCGGGACUCAACAGUUUGCUCACACUACUACCUGAAGGCUUCCCUGGGGCAUUAUGAUGUCCUGAUACUUUGUGCAGUUUUCCACCAGCCUCCUGAUCUUCUAGGACCAGAAAGCAUUAUGUGGAUCCUGCCUUGUAAGGAUCUUGGGAUUUUCCAGAAGGCUCUGACCUAGUCAAGAGCAGACUGCAUUUAUAGUCAGUUUAAACUGAGGUGGAGGAAACCUGGACUUCAGAUGCUGGAGAUUUUCAACUUCAAAACACCCUUGGAUAGACUCUAGCAGGCAGAGCCUAGACAGAGCCUGGGAGCCCCAAUUCUUUGUGAGCUUUGCAGUGGUUAAUUUUGGAGCUGCCUAGAAGCACAGGCUGAGGAAAAGGACCCACAAGAGAGAAAAGAGUGAAUUUUAAACACCUGGAGGAGAAAAUACCAAGAAAACAGUAUGUCCUCUUCUGCUGAAGGCUUAAUCAACUUUGACCUGAGUCUUCUGGCUUGAGGAAUUUUGGAUCUUGCUACCUGAAGGACUGACUGUGUGCAUUUGUUUCAGAAGGCUUGCCUUUCUGCUGACUCUCUGAGUACUGCUGACUCUCUGACUUCUUUAAAAGAAGACAAGGGCUGGCUCUGUUUCAGCAUUGAACUCAUUCACUAGUCUAGGCAAUGGAGUGGCUCCAAAGAAGGAUGAAGGAGAACUGCUAAUCAUGAGUGAGGAUGGUGGUAGGGAUGAACCUGGUUAUCUUCACUGAAUGUUUUGGAGGGAAAGGUUUUUGUCUGAGAAUGAAGACUGUCAGGAGACCUGGUAGCAGCUAGAGAAAAUAGCGUGAGUAUAAAGUUGAAUCCAAGUUCUUCUAAGAGGGAAGACAGUGAUAGCACAGGACAAGAGACAUCAAACACAAUGUGUUUGGAAAUUCUCAUGUGUUAUUAGGAUUUUUUUUUCACUGGAAGGGUGAUGUAGCACUAGAAUUGAUGACAGGAGAGUCUGCAGGAUCUCCCACCUCAGAGAUAACCAGAUGUUGACUGGAUGAAGCCCUGAACAAAUGUGACCUCAGCAGGCCUUACUCUGAACAAAUAGUUUUCCCAAAUAACCCUAUGGAGGUCCCUUCCAGCCUGCAUUAUUCUGAGAUUCUGGGUCAGAUCCUACAACUGGCAAUAGAAGGACCUUGGGUAUCAUGCUUGAGGAUGGAGCAGCGUGAGUGUCUGACUCAUGAUUAGGUUGGAGUCACUCAUGAAUUCAGUGUAUUUCAUGACAGAAUGUCAAAUUCUGUGGAGAACCUGACAGCUACAAACUUUCUGAAUCUGCAAGGCAAGAAAUUAUUUGCUGACUCAUAUCACUAAUAAAUACUGGUAUUUAUCCUAUCCAGCACUGUCAGAUGAUCCCUUUGAACUUUUCAUGAUGCUUUACACCAAGGCAAAGAGCUUAGUUCCUGUGAAAAGGCAAAGGUAUUUUUUGGGCCAAAUUUUCAAAGCCUCCAGUUCCUCAUCUGAAACUUGGUAGGCAGGGAAAAAGAGUCAAGCAAAAUGGCAGUGGGAUGGAUCAAAGCAAAUGCUCUGGGCUACACCCUGCUCUUGAGGGAUGUUCUGGGGACAAAGAUGUCUGUUGGUACUUCAUCACAAUGGUAAUGCUCUACAUUGCAGUGGUAAGUUGACAGAUUGCUAUUUACAUCAAUAUUUUCUGCUGAAAAGCAAAAUUCAAGGAGCAGCUCUGAUAUUUUAACUUAUUUUUGUGGGAACAUGGCCAGCAUUGCCCAUAAUUCAUACUAUGGUAUGACUAGGACUCUGGUAUGUCACACAGCAUUUCAAAACUGAGACUGACAACUUCUGAAAUUAAGCUUAGUUAAGCAUGUGUUUUGUUAACUAUAUUAUGUACCCACAGCAGCUUUUUAUAACUGAAGAACAAGAUGACUUCUCAUUAUCUAGCUAGAUAAGUGCCACUCGCAAAAGAGCAGAAGUUUAAUUUGGUCAAAAAUCCCUGUUUCAGUUAUAUUCAAAAUGCAGAAUUUCAUGGAGAUUUGUUUUCAUUUGCAUUUCCAUAGCAUAGAAAGGUGGCUGGAGGAACCAACAGUAGUACCUCAGAUUGCUGCAGCAGCUGCCUCUAUGUUUGUGCCCCAAAAACAUUUCCUUGUCUCAUCGUAAGUGCCUGUUUGUGCCCUGCAUGCAGUUUGAUCACUCCCAUCAUGCAAAGCCUGGCAGAGAUGUGGUAUUUCCUACAUGAACUGCCAUAUCUUCCCAGCUCACAAGUGAAAGGCUAAACAUUAAGCAGAGACUAACAAGAUUUCAGUUCUGCAGCACAUUUUAAUUUUCAGCAGUUUGUAUUCUGCCAUAUACCCAACAGUCUUUCCUAAGGGAAAAAAGCAACAUAAUUAACAUGGGGUAAAUUUCAUUCAGUGUACUCUGUUUCCUUCCAUUAUUGUAUUUGCCAGAGGUGCUAUUUAGCAAGAAGUUUUCUCACGUUAUUUUGUACAAUCCAAGUGGUUUUAGUUUGUCGGGGGGGUUGUUUUGUUUUGUUUUGUUGGGGUUUAAUUUGUUUUCAGGAAAGCACUAUUUUAGAGGUUACAUUUUCUGAAGCCAUUGGAUUUAAGUCAUUUUAGAUACAUAGUAAAAAGGGAGGAGACAGUAAGAACUAAGAAAUAUUAUUUUUCCCAAUACUGGUAAGAACAUCCUCAUCUGAGUCCCAUUAGAGAAGUAACCGCCUACAUUAAUAAAAUAAACCAAUAUACAAUUGCUACCAGUCUUAAUGCAGGGGCUGAAUGACCUAAUUUAGUAAUUCAUUUAUGAUGUGUUUUAGUAGUGUGGCUUCUCUUGUGUUACCUGAGUAAAUAGAACAGAUGCAGAUGCUUGCUAGAGAUUUAGAGUCUCAUAAUUUUUUCUUUACAGUCUAACCUGGAUAUCCCUUAUAAAUUCACUGGUCCACACUUACUGGACUCAGUCUUCAAAGUGGGCAUGAAAGCUAGAAAUGCAAUAUUUAUACUUACAGAUCCAACUGUUGUAACUCAUAUCAGUUGAACAGCAAGAAUAAGCUAGAGAAACAGGAGUAGAGCAUAAAUCAUCUCUUUUAUUAAUAAUUUUCCACUGUCUUUAAUGAAGCUGUCUUCUUUAUAAUCUCCGACAUCGUGAAAAGUUAUUACACUGUCUUUGUAGAGGCCUUUUCAAUCUCUUGCAGAUCUACAGUAAUUUCACGAUUACAAGCCG